UAUAAUCGGGUUGUCUUUUGUUGCCCCCGAAUUGGUCUCAAAAUAGUGGUAAAAAAGGGGUUAGACCGAUUUUUUUUCUGUUAUUGUUCUCUGACAAAUUACCCUUUUAAAAUAUUCAUCUCCGACUCUUAUUGCUUUUAACCUGGUUUUGCUGUCAUAAAAUACUAUCACCAACAAAUACCUAUAUAAUAAACACUAUUAGAAACCGAUUACUUGUAGAUUCUAGCCGUUGAAAAUGAAUAAAGUUAUUCUGAGCCUCGUACUACUCUCAAUUUUGGCUAGCAGCAUCAGUGCGGGUCGUGUUUCGAAACAGUGGCUGAUUGACAACAAAGACAACUUGCACAAAUUCACCCGGGUUUGUACGGGAAGCGAAGCGGUUCCGCGAUGAAAACUACUAGACGGGAACAGGAACAGCUCGAGUCUAAUUCAAUAGGUGGACCGCAGCAAGGAUUUGCAGAGAAACACUUUUUCGUAGCACCGAUUCCCGAGUUGAAAAAGAAAUCAUCGGCCAUGUAUUUCCGAAAAUAAAACUAGCACUAAAAUGAAAUUGCAAAGAAAACUCAAAUAUCCAGUAUCAAAAUUAAA
Long non-coding RNA from Symsagittifera roscoffensis, 585 nucleotides. RefSeq lists it as uncharacterized. The record is from RefSeq and is a predicted model, not a curated record. NCBI's taxonomy places the organism in Eukaryota, Metazoa, Xenacoelomorpha, Acoela, Convolutidae. The transcript has 3 exons.